GGGGGCGAUCAUACCA
This 16-nucleotide ribosomal RNA is filed under the name Perilla frutescens var. crispa. The record is from RNAcentral. Lineage: Eukaryota; Viridiplantae; Streptophyta; Magnoliopsida; Lamiales; Lamiaceae.